CAUGCCACCCUGGGCAUACCUCAUCUCUUCUGAUAUUGGAAGUUAAGCAGGGCCGGACUUCAUUAGUACCUGGAUGGGAGGCCACGUUCAAAUCUUGUC
Molecule: ribosomal RNA, 99 nt
Filed under: Tursiops truncatus (common bottlenose dolphin)
Lineage: Eukaryota; Metazoa; Chordata; Mammalia; Artiodactyla; Delphinidae
Source: RNAcentral